RNAcentral lists this transfer RNA (62 nucleotides) under Uzeldikra longiprocessa. RNAcentral's name for it is "tRNA-Val". Lineage: Eukaryota; Metazoa; Arthropoda; Insecta; Hemiptera; Cicadellidae. The record is from RNAcentral.
CAGAAUGUAGCUUAUGUAAAGUUAAUUAUUUACAUUAAUUGGAAAAUUAAAAUUCUUUCUGA